This 540-nucleotide ribosomal RNA is filed under the name humic substances enrichment clone Q12. Its description in RNAcentral is "bacterial SSU rRNA". It matches the Rfam family "Bacterial small subunit ribosomal RNA", at positions 374 to 907 of the family's 1533-position model. The record is from RNAcentral. Lineage: Bacteria; Pseudomonadati; Pseudomonadota; Betaproteobacteria.
GGCGCANGCCUGAUCCAGCAAUGCCGCGUGCAGGAUGAAGGCCUUCGGGUUGUAAACUGCUUUUGUACGGAACGAAACGGUCCUUUCUAAUACAAGGGGCUAAUGACGGUACCGUAAGAAUAAGCACCGGCUAACUACGUGCCAGCAGCCGCGGUAAUACGUAGGGUGCGAGCGUUAAUCGGAAUUACUGGGCGUAAAGCGUGCGCAGGCGGUUAUGUAAGACAGAUGUGAAAUCCCCGGGCUCAACCUGGGACCUGCAUUUGUGACUGCAUAGCUAGAGUACGGUAGAGGGGGAUGGAAUUCCGCGUGUAGCAGUGAAAUGCGUAGAUAUGCGGAGGAACACCGAUGGCGAAGGCAAUCCCCUGGACCUGUACUGACGCUCAUGCACGAAAGCGUGGGGAGCAAACAGGAUUAGAUACCCUGGUAGUCCACGCCCUAAACGAUGUCAACUGGUUGUUGGGUCUUCACUGACUCAGUAACGAAGCUAACGCGUGAAGUUGACCGCCUGGGGAGUACGGCCGCAAGGUUGAAACUCAAAGG